AACUCAAUAAUUUAAUGGUAAGAAUGAUUUUAAUAAAUUUUAAUAAAAAUUAAUGAGAGUUCGAUUCUCUCUUGAGUUA
Molecule: transfer RNA, 79 nt
Filed under: Russula abietina
Lineage: Eukaryota; Fungi; Basidiomycota; Agaricomycetes; Russulales; Russulaceae
Description: tRNA-Ile
Rfam family: tRNA
About the family: Transfer RNA (tRNA) molecules are approximately 80 nucleotides in length. Their secondary structure includes four short double-helical elements and three loops (D, anti-codon, and T loops). Further hydrogen bonds mediate the characteristic L-shaped molecular structure. tRNAs have two regions of fundamental functional importance: the anti-codon, which is responsible for specific mRNA codon recognition, and the 3' end, to which the tRNAs corresponding amino acid is attached (by aminoacyl-tRNA synthetases). tRNAs cope with the degeneracy of the genetic code in two manners: having more than one tRNA (with a specific anti-codon) for a particular amino acid; and 'wobble' base-pairing, i.e. permitting non-standard base-pairing at the 3rd anti-codon position.
Source: RNAcentral